AUUGUGAAGUGUUGACUUGAAAAUGUACAAGUGUAUUUUUAGUGAUCGUGUAAGUGACUGGUAAAAGACCCGAGGUUUGCUCACGAGUUUACAGCUCGUUAAAUCGACGGGAAUCCGGGACAGAAGAUCUUCACCUGCUUCCGCUCAUCGGUGAUAAAUUUUAUGACAAACGAAUAAACCAAUGGUUGGGUUUGUAGCACAUGAAGGCAUUCGGUCGAAAACAUGACUUGGUGGCCGCGAGCGCGCGAGAAGGCUGUAUCAGGAUGAGCCUGCGUAUG
Molecule: long non-coding RNA, 278 nt
Organism: Pararge aegeria (speckled wood butterfly)
Lineage: Eukaryota; Metazoa; Arthropoda; Insecta; Lepidoptera; Nymphalidae
Exons: 3
Source: RefSeq, a predicted model, not a curated record